RNAcentral lists this unclassified non-coding RNA (390 nucleotides) under Lepechinia ganderi. Its description in RNAcentral is "partial external transcribed spacer". The record is from RNAcentral. Lineage: Eukaryota; Viridiplantae; Streptophyta; Magnoliopsida; Lamiales; Lamiaceae.
AUGGGCAUGUUGGAUCCCUGCUCGGGCAGCGACGACAUCUCACCCACGACUCUUCAGUUGUUGGCUCGAGCUCUUGCUCGAUCGAUGUUGGCUUUCCUGUGCUGAAUACCUAUCGCGAAGGCAUUCCGUCGGCUUUGGUUAUCUAUUUCCCGCUUUGUACCGCCGCUCCCUGUGGGCAAGCGGUGCGGGGUGGGCUAAAUAGCGCACGUCGUGUAUUGCGCUCCUUAACGGGUGUUCGGGUUGACAGUCCACGACGUGAUGCUCGCUCUCUCGGGUACGGAACAUUAUGUGGGYAUGAGGCCAUCGGUCUCCUAGCACCACGAACAAGCGUUCUACGCUUCGUGCGGAUGACGGUUGGUUCGGUCUUUGGCCGUGCUCUUGUGGCUCGGU